Molecule: long non-coding RNA, 15502 nt
Filed under: Homo sapiens (human)
Lineage: Eukaryota; Metazoa; Chordata; Mammalia; Primates; Hominidae
Description: HSALNT0340083
Source: RNAcentral
GGUUUUCUCCGGUUCGGGAGAGAGACGGAGUCCCGCUCUGUCACGCAGGCUGCCAGGCUGGCGUACAGUGGCGCAAUCUCAGCUCGCUGCAACCUCCACCUCCUGGGUUCAAGCGAUUUUCUUGCCUCUGCCUCCUGAGUAGCUGGGAUUACUGGCACACACCACCAUGCACAGUUCCUUGUUCAAAAUGCCAAGAACCUGGAUGACUCAUAGUCAAGACCCUCCACCAGUAACAUAUAUUGGCGAGCCAGCCAGGAGCUUGGAACCCUCGGUGGACAGUGCCUAAGCACAGAGGCAACCACAGGUUUCUAACAGGGCCACUCUCUGGUGAAACUGAAAGGUUUCUGUGUGAAAGUGCCUGACCACCACUGCCCAAUUCAGACCACUACAGGAAACACUCCAUUUAUUCCACCUGACUUCCCACUUGGCUGCAUCCUCAACCAUUGAAAUGAAUUUGACCCUGAUAAUCUAAGGAGGAAACAUUUGAUAUUCUUUUGCAAUAAUACUUGGCCCCAGUAUUGUUUGGAAUCUGGAGUUUGCUGUUGAAUGGGAAAGCAGGAUGACGUUGCAUGUAUCCAGGCUUUGGUGCUGCUGUCCUAAGAAGGGUCAGGCCUAGUCAGCAUAUGGUGCUCUCCUUUGGUGCUAUUUGGCUCCAGUGUCUUUGGAGUCUGAGGAGGUUUGGCCUUUAAAAAUCAAACUGCCACCGGAACUGCUUUAAAAAUGUUUGGUUCACAGCCUUCACUGGAUUACCUAUUGGAGCAAACAAAGUGUAACCAUGUAAAACCUGUGAGCUUGUAUUGAUAUCUCAUGGCUAGAGUUCCAAGCGAAUGGGUCUCAUGAGAUCUGAUGGUUUUGAAAAUGGGAGUUGCCCUGCACAAGCUCUCCUUUUGCCUGCUGCCAUCCACAUAAGAUGUGAUUUGCUCUUCCUUGCCUUCCACCAUGAUUGUGAGGCCUUCCCAGCAUGUGGAAAUGGUCCAGCCUGCAAUAACUGAAGCCCCCAGACCUGGAACCUGAAGAUCCCAUCAGCCACUAAACCUGUGAACCUGUAGAAGACCUGAAGUACCUGUUUAAAAGGCAGCCAAAAGAUAAGUAAAUUCCUAUCAACUUUCCUUGGUGUCCUUCUUGUAUAUUUACUGUAAGCUGGAUAUAAUAGUAGCCAUUUUUAUAUUUUUACAAUUUAAUUGCUUUCUUCCAAAUGGAUUGAAUCACUUCUUUUAAAGUGUUUUAAUUAAUUUUUAUCUAUAGAACAAAAUAACAAAUAAGUAUUUUUUUUUUAUACCAUAAUGGUCACCCACAGCCUGUGUAUACUAAGACCAUGCAUACUGAUAAUCAGCUUUAUUUUACAAAAGAGUUUCGCUUUACCCCUCUGGUAAUUAAUGGAUUCUGGGUAUUUAUUAAAAACUUUAACACAAAGACUGUUAAAUACCACCAGUCCAGCUUUGGCAAGGCACUGUUGGCUUUGUUUAUCUCCAUCAUCAUCCAAACAGACUACCAAUCCUGAUCCCAGCCCAAUCUUGGGCCCUUGAAAAAAUAACUUAACAUCCUAACUACAAGGGAGAAACUCCUUUCAAAUUAAUGAACCUGGCUGACUUAUAUAGCCUUAAAAUUAUGGAAAUGACAAGGGUUACAAUGUCAGAAUGAGCAGUAAACCUUCCCCAGUCCUAUCAGAGCAAACUUUCUGGGGUUGCAUCCCCUCAGAAACCCAUUUGGGGCCCAAUCUCAAUGCACAUAUCAGUGCGCAAAGCACUAAAAUUCCAGGCAACACUUUGUAUUGAGAGAAGCCAAAAUUUUGGUCCCGCCCUGGGACAUCUAAAGUCACCAAUGUAACUACACCAUACAGAUUAAACCCUCACAUGAUCAUGUAAGCUAUGCAGUUACCCAAGCUGCAUCAUUUAGAAAACCUGUACAGUUUUUAUGGAAACCAUCCCUAGUCAAGGACACUUUAAAUAUAUAGUCUAAAUACCGUUAAGGUAGGCCCACUAGCUGUGUUCACAUUUUCCCUUGGCCACCUUACCAGGGACUUUAAUAACUUGGGAAAGUGAAAACAACAAGCUAACCCACAUGUUCACCAUAGAAAACAAUUUUGUCUUGAAAAACAAGGACUCUUUUUCCCGUGUGGGACCAGUUCCUACUUAUGUUUUACCAGCCAAUUGGACUGGAACCUAUACAGUUGUUUAUUUAGCCCCCGAAAUUAAUAUAGCUCCCAACAACCAAUCCUUCAUUAUACUUUUAACUGCAACCACCAGACACAAAUGAGCCAUCCAACUGAUACCACUUUCGGUAGAGCUAGGAAUAACAGCAGGAGUAGGAAUGAGAGUUAGCAGCCUUGCAGUUUCCCUAUCCUAUUACCAAUGCUUGUCCAAGGAUUUUAUGGAAAGCUUAGGUGACAUUGCCCAAAAGUAUCAUCACCUUACAAAAUCAGAUAGAGUCUUUGGCAGUGGUGGCUUUGUAAAAUAGAAGGGGACUGGAUCUCCUAAAUGCUGAAGAAGGUGGCUUAUGUCUUUUUCCUAGAGGAAGAAUGCUGUUUUUAUGUCAACCAAACAGGAUUAGUAAGGGAUGCCACCCAAAAACUAGCCGAUUGGUACCAUAAGAUAUGACAACAGCUGUCUGAGUCAUGGGGCGCCUAGUCAAAAUGCUAAUUUGGGGCUCACAUCUCCUUCCUCUGGCCAGUCCACUAUUAAUUAUUAUACUUGCCUUGGCUUUUGGAUCAUGUUUGUUAAAUCUUUUAACCAGAUUUAUUUCUUCUUGCCUAGAGACCAUUAUGAUAAUGCAGCAGGGCCACCAGUCAGUUUCAGAUAAUGAUGUCAACCCCGGCCACCAAGAAGUAACCUUGUCUCCACUAGACAGAGCAGGUUGCAGGAAUUUAGCCAAUUCAGAGGUCUUGUUCUCCAUAAUUUGGAAUUUUCCUUCGGAUUUGAUCAAGUUGGAUAGAGUUGGUCAAACCCAAUGGGAAAAAGAUGAAAACAACAAGAAACAGAAACAAACAGCAACAACAACAACAACAAAAACAAUGCAUUUAAUUAAAUGAAGAUGAGCUCAUGCUGGAGUAGGGUGGACUCUGAACCCAGUGGGACAAGCGUCCUUAUUAAGAAGAGGGAAAUCUGGACACACACAGAGCAGAGACCGCCGUGUGAAGAUGGAGGCAGAGAUCGGAGAGAUGCUGCCACACGCCACAAAUGCCUGGGGCUCCCAGAAACUACACGGAGCCUCCCCCAGCGGCUUCAGCAGGAGCAUGGCUCGGCCAACACUUUGAUCUUGGUCUUCCAGCCUCCAGAACGUUUUCCUAAAAUUCCCUUUUCCACUGGUGUGUGGUGCAAGAUGAGGCACAUUUUCCAUGGAUGGUGAACAGAGGGAGGAGCCUUUUGAUCACAACCAGGUCACCCCACUUCUAAGCCACUGUGCCUCCAGCCCCACAAGACUAAGGAGAGAGAGCGCAGCGUGGUGGAGAGUGAGCUGUGCUGGGACCAUUGUUUCCGUAACCUCGUUUUCUGUGUCCAGCUGACACACCUUCAAAGUGGCAUCAGGUCCUAAACUGUAGCUUGCAAUGUGCCUGUUUCCAGAAACCAAGGUGAAAGUGCUUUUAGACAGUGUUCCCAUGCAAGAGUCCCUUCCCAGCUUUUUUCUGGAAAUGCAUGUUUCUCUGAACUCUGAGUCCCAAGAAAAAUCACUUGAGACACCAAGAAAAUGGGGGAAGUGCUAAAAUUGUGUGGGAAUUCAAGCUUAACAAUAAACAUCAAGACAUUUUUGAUAAAAAUGAAUCCACUGACAUCGGGGAGGAGCAAGAGAACAGCACGCUGACACUGGGUCAGAGGCUAAGACCGACAUUUCUGGGAACCACUCCCGGAAGGGCACAGAGGAGACGCUUUCAGCCUCUCAUCAGCCAGCCUGGCCUGUAGCUGCUGCACGUUAUGAGUGUGUUCCUGGCAUGACUGCUUCUAACAAAGAAAUGCUGAGGCAGUGUCACGCUGGUGUCUGUCCUCCUUACAGAAUGCCUGAACAGUUCCAUUGACUCAAAGUGAAGAUCAAAAGAACCAAAUGACAGCAAUAGCCAAGUGUAAUCAUCAGUAACCCUGUGUUCUAUCCACAGUUAAAAGAAUAUUGGCAGAGAAACAGCCUUGGUGUUCCAGCAGGAGUGAAGAGGAACAGGAAAACGAGUGGCAGUAGCCCUGAAACAGCCACUUCUGGUGGUUGCCACUCACCUGAGGAUGUGAGUCUUGGCAGGCCAGGCUUCUGGGGACAGGGGGCCCAAGGCACAGUAGACGAGAUGGAGUCUCGUUCUGUCACCCAGGCUGGAGUGCAGUGGCGCAAUCUCGGCUCGCUGCAAGCUCUGCCUCCCGGAUUCCCGCCAUUCUCCUGCCUCAGCCUCCCUAGUAGCUGGGACUACAGGCGCCCCCCACCAUGCCCGGCUAAUUUUUGAUAUUUUUAGUAGAGACAGGGUUUCACUGUGUUAGCCAGGAUGGUCUCGAUCUCCUGACCUCGUGAUCCACCUGCCUCGGCCUCCCAAAGUGCUGGGAUUACAUGUGUGAGCCACCACACCCGGCCCCAUUUUUAAUACGUUUUUUAAAGAUGCAUAUAAAAUGCAUUACCCUCUGGAAGAUUCCAGUAACUUACUGAAGCAAGUUUCUCCUCUACAUAUACCUAUUUCUGCCAUGAGUAACUGUUCAUUUUCAGUGAGUCAUUUGAGUUUCUGUUAUUCAGGUAUACAGAGUUCCUGUUGUCUUUUUAGUCAACAAAGUUUAACAAAGACCAUAAUAAAGAUGGCUUUCAGCAGCUCUGUUAUUGGGAAGGGUUGUAUUCAUGUGAAGAAAGAAAUUAUUUUAUUUUAUUUUUAAGUUUUAGUAGAGGGGGGGUUUUGCUAUGUUGGUUAGGCUGGUCUCGAACUCCCAUCCUCAAGUGAUCCACCUGCCUCGGUCUCUCAAAGUGCUGGGAUUACGGGCAUGAGCCACUGUGCCUGGACAGUAAUAAUAUUUUUUAAAAGGCUGACAUCAGCAGAUCAGCUAUUCUGGAAAGAUUUUUAAACACUCAGAGGUUUUUUUGUGUUUGUUUGUUUUCUUUUCUUUUCUUUUUUAGAGGCAGGGUCUUGCUCUGUCGCCCAGGCUAAGGUGGAGUGGUGCAAUCAUAGCUCACUACAGCCUCAAACUCCUGGGCUCAAACAAUCCUCACACCUUUCAUACCUUAGGCCCCUGAGUAGCUGGGUGGGACUACAGGCAUGCAUCACCAUGCUUGGCUAAUUUUUAAUUUUGUAUAGGUGGGGUCUUGCCAUUUGCCCAGGCUGGUGUCAAACUCCUCAAGUAAUCCUUCUGCCUCGGCCUCCUAAAGUGCCAGGAUUAUAGGCCUGAGCCACUACACACAGCCCGGAGUUUUUAAAAAAUACUCAAUUAAAAUGCUUCAUUUAAGUGUAUGUCUCUAAGAAAAUUUAAUAAUUGAUUAAAUAUUGUUGAAUAGACUGAAAGCACAACAUCCAAGCACAUGAAUUAAGCAAAUAAUGCAAGCAUAGCUCCCACACUCCACAAAUGUUUUCUAGUCAUUCCAAAGCCAUUCUUUUUAGAGGAUCUUUAAGAAAAUGCUUGGCUCUCAUCCGAUUAUUAUACAAGAGAUUAAGAAUUUACUGAGUUUACAGUUCUUUCUAUGAAGGAAAGAAUGAGGUCUACACCCAAAAGAAACAUUGGGAUUUUCAUUUAAGUAAAGCUGUAUUCUCAUUUAAAAUGGUACUAGUGCUCUUGUUGGCAACAGACACAUGAAGCAAAAUUUUCCUUUUACAUUUGAAUUUCAACUGCAUUUAAAGUGUUAUAAAUACCAUGACUACAUAAGCUAAGGGAAUGAAUGUAUUAACUCUGAUGCAGUCUGUCAGGUUUUAACAGUAGUGAAUCUUGGGAUCGGUACAUCUCAUUCCAGUAUAGCUAUGGUAAAUGACAUAGAGAUCGCUGAAUUGUUGUAUUUCCAGGACUUUUCAAAAGUGACUAUUAAGGUUGGCUGUGGGAUCUAGCAGGUUAUUGUCCUAGAACACUUGUGGCCUUCUCCUAAAACAGACUGGGAAAAUUCUGGUUCUUUAUUCACUGACAUCUCAAAGGGCAAAGAGGGAGGCACCAUGACAUUCUGCAGUUGCAGGCCUCUCAGGAUGAGACUGUAUUUUUCCAUACAGCAAUGUUGAUUUGAUCUGGCCUAAUUCUCCGAUUGAUGUGGUGAGAGGCAGGACUACUUGGGAAUGUAUUCACUGUGCCUGAUUUCUCUCUGGGCAAUUUAUUUGGUCAUCAAUCUUUUUAUCCUCCUGACAUUUGAUUUCUAGAUAUUGGCCCAAAUUCCAUAAGAUAGGAAUUUUUGUUCUGAAUUUUAAUAACAUAUGUAUUUUAAUUAAUAGUAUAUUUUAAAAUAAAAGUAACACGACAAAAAGAAAAAACAAAGACAAAAAAGUAACCUAAGAAUAUAUGCUCAAAAGUGCCAAAAAUACAAAAGACUACAGAAUUUUUAAAAUAGAAGCUUUUUGUUCAACUUGCUGCUCUUCUUCCCACUUCUUCAAUUCCAUUUCUUUUCCUAUAGGUGAUCAUGGCUAACAUUUUGGUGUUUGUCUUUCCAAAGUGUAUAGUUAUAGAUCUGAAUAGAAAUGUAGAUACAGAGAUAUCAAAGAUGAGCAUGGGCUAAGCACUCAACAAUAAACUACGUUGGGUCUAUUUUUCAAAGUUACUCUCAAAACAAGAAUACAGAUUGUCCAUUAAACAUACUGGAAUUUUAAUACAUUCUUUUUUUUCCCCCAGAACAUUUCUGAUUUCAUAUAUUCUGGCAUGUUUCCUGCCAUGUGGCAAACCAUAAGCUGAAAGAGAUAUAAAUAUAAAUAACACUAUGUCUAACAAAAUUUGCUCAGAAUAUGCUAAAGCAUUAGUAUAAAUGUCUACAUCUUAAGUCAGAGCUAAAGAACAAGUUUCUCUCAGUAAAUCAAGGAAAGCCAGGGGAAAAGACCAUAGAGAAAAAGGAUAUGGGUGCCUGUAUGAAGCAGGGGAGGUUUUUGACUCCAGUGCACCUAAUUAGCAAAUAAGUAUCAUUCAUCUGUGCUGUGGUAAGCACUGCAGUAUGCAUAAAUAGAAGGUGUGAUACCUGCCUCCAAAGGGCUUACCAUCUACUGAGAAAUCCGACUAAUCAGACAGGAAAGACUCAGAUAAUGAAGGCUUGCAUAAGAGCCUGAAUCUGAUAAGGUAAUGAACAAAAGACAGCCUCUACAGGUUUUUAUAGAUAGAAAUGAGAUGAUAAAAUCAAAUUUAAACAAUGUAUCUUAACUCCCUUCCGGCCUUUCAUUUCCAUUCCAUGAAUGCUACCCUGGCUUAGGCUUUCAUGACUUUGCCUAUUUGCAGUGACCUUGUAUUCAGCACUCUGCCAUCUCUCCCACUACUUCCUCCCAAGCCAUCCUGAACACAGGCCACAUGUUUGAUUUUCUAAUCGUACACAAGGGAACGUCUCUGCUCAAAAGCCAAAAAUGACUCUUCUUUGGCCACCAAAUAAUCUGAACUUUUUGGUGUGAAACUCAAGGCCCUGCCAGAAACAAUAUUAAUCUCCUUCCAGACUGUCUCCCAUUUCCUAAUAUUAACCCCUUGCUCUGUUGAAAUUGAAGCCAUUUUCCAAAGCCACCUCUGUGAUGUCCUUAUGUAAUUCCCGCCCUCUUCUUGUCCUCCCCUGCAACCCUAUCUCCAUAGAAAAGCAGUCAGAAAAACCACCCUAGGAAUUGAUGCAGUAAUCCAGGAGUGAGAUGAGGAUGGGAGGGAGAGGGUGAGCAUGUGGGGAUGAGGAGGAGGGUGGGACACAGGGAGUAGCCACAGACCUUAAUGACUGAUGGCAGAUAGGGUGUGAAGGAGAGAGGUGAGUCAAAGGUAACUUAUUUUCGGUUUUAGGCAACAAAUACAAAUCUUUCUCAAUAACUACUCAUCCCACAUCCUUGUGGCUAUUGGAGGUUGAUAUUUAUUUCAUACUGCCUGUAUAACCUGGGACCAUAUAUAAUUAAUGAUGAUUACUCUGUAUUCUAGAUCACGAAUAUAUAUAUCUAUAUAAAUAUAUACAAAUAUAUAAAUACAAAUAUAUAUAUAUAUAUAUAUAUAUUUACCUUAAUGCAGGCACAACCAAAUACUUUACUUUUGGAGCCAGAUGUCUUUAAGAUACACUCUAAAAUAUUAUUGUGGAAUUAGAUACACUGCUUUCCACGUAAACCAUUAAUAGAUACAUUGAAUAAGAAUCUUUAUUUCAUUCCCAGUGUGGUUUGGAGUAUAAGACUUAGGAAAGUGUCUGUGAAACCUACAGUGAGAAAUUCCACUGGGUCUUGACAGCUGGAGUGAGCACUCAAAUGUGCCCAGCACUUUUCUCUAGCUCCCUUCUCUGCUUGAGCUGUGGUCUGCUUUCUCCUUCUCUGUAGCUCAGAUCAUCUUCCUCCACUUCUCAGCCCACAUGUCUAACGUGGCUGGGACCAGCUCAGAGUGUUUCAAAUGUGUAGGUGCUCGGAGAGAGAGAGACCCAACCCUCUUAGACUCAGGUACACAUUCUCAGGGAAGAAAACUGGAACCAGUAGAAAUAUCAGAUCCCUAUGUUCCCUGACGAGUGCUUCCUUCUCUAAGAAGAAAAACCUACUAAGAAGACAAAUUACAGCUGGAAGGUUGUUUGGUAAGCGUGGAAUCACCUAUCUAAUCUCCCAGCAAGUCUUAAUUGCUCUACCAUAAAAAAAAAGCAACCCAAAUCCAUCCUUUUCCCAGCUUCACUCCCUAGUCCAAAGCCACCAUCCACCCUUGUCUAAACCUCUGCAGGACUGUCUUUGCUUAUUUCUUUUCUUUUCUUUUUCUUUUUCUUUUUUUUAAGCGGAGUCUCACUCUGUCACCCAGGCUGGAGUGCAGUGGCGCGAUCUCGGCUCACUGCAAGCUCUGCCUCCCGGGUUCACGCCAUUCUCCUGCCUCAGCCUCCCGAGUAGCUGGGAGUACAGGCGCCCGCCACCAUGCCCAGCUAAUUUUUUUGUAUUUUUAGUAGAGAUGGGGUUUCACUGUGUUAGCCAGAAUGGUCUCCAUCUUCUGACCUCGUAAUCCACCCACCUCAGUCUCCCAAAGUGCUGGGAUUACAGGCGUGAGCCACCGCACCUGGCCCUGUCUUUUCUAAUUUCUUAACUAUCAUUUCUAUCCCCUUAGAAUUGAUUCUCCACUCAGCAUGCAGAAUUAUCCCUUUGAAAAUCAGAUUAUAUUCCUACCUAAACCACCCCCAAUAGCUUGUGACCUCUUAGAAUCUAGAUUCCUUAACAUGGCCUCAAGGGCCCACGUGACCCAGCCCCUGCCUGUCUCUCUACCUCAUCUCCUACUGCUCCUGCUUUUGUUCCUUCCACUCUAAUCACUUGACCUCCUGACCUCAGUCAUGCUAAUAAACUCAUGCCUCAUUUAGAUUUAUUUUCCUAGUGGAAGAAAAUGCAUUGAUCUGUGAACACAAAUACAUGGUUUAUCUGUUACAGUUCUCAUUGCAUGUCAACAAACUGACAUUCUGAUGUGUACAUCCAUCUCUUAUGAGUCUGCUUAGUGUGAAUCUGCCCCCUCUGGUAGUACUGACAAGAUUGUGUUUCUCAGCCCACAGAGCUAAGACACAGACUCAUGAGACCCAGUCUCUGUCUAUACCACUAGAGUUCUACUGCCCCUGAAUGGCAUUGCCUGCACAGACAGCUGGCCUUCCUCAGCAGACACACAGCCUUUGUACCAUAUAACUCUUCAGACUUGCUAUGAUGUACCAAUGUCUUUCCUUGAAAUGCUCUUCUGAAAAUGAUAAAUGCUAAAACUGAUUACAAUGCUAUUGAAAGUGGAUGAGCAAGUUGAUCUGCUGAGAUGUGAAAACAAAUUCUAUUUUAAUUUUUAAUCUAAAAUAUUAGAAAGAAUUUUGUUUCCUAUACUUUGCUAUAUUUAGUAAAUAUACACUAAUAUAAGAAUUUUGCUUUACUAAAACAGUAGAACCCUCAGUUAGCCAGGCAGUCAUCAUCUGUCACAUAAAAGGUGUCCUGAGGAGGAAUGGGAGUGCCUCCCCUGGGGAAGAGGCUGAUGGUGGCUCUGGCUCUCAGUCAGUCGCUUUCCUUAUCUUGGUAUUUACUGUCAUUUAUCUGGGCUUAGCUAAACAGAUUUAUAGAGAAUUAACUCUCACAAAAUGGGAACAUAAUUUAAAAGAUUUCUGCAAAGAAUUGGACAGGAACUCUUGUCAAAAUUGUAAGCAGAAGAAAAGAAAAAAAGAAAGGGACAGAGCCGACAUUUCUCAUACUUCUGGUACAAGCUCCUCAUCACAUUCAUUGUGUUGUAAAAAUAAUGGUGAUCUAGUAACAUCUGACAAGGUCAGCCAAAAUGAUACAUAUAAGAAUUUAGCUCUCCACCUAGGAGGGCUAUUAGCAAUAAAAUUUCCAUCUACUAUAACUUAUAAUUAACUUUGACCUAUAUGUGUAUUUCCCUUGAGAUUGGCCAAUGAUUGAUUGAAACUACCACAAUUAAUGACAGAUAAAAUAGCUUUUUUAUUUUAAAAUUUCUAUUUUGUGGGUAUUAUAGAAUGUAUUUUAUAUAUUAAUAUACAUAUAAUUAUAUACUAUUAUAAUCAUAUAUUAAUAUUAACAUAUAAUUGUGUGUGUUCAAAAAUUUUUAAUGGCACAAUCAAAAAACUUUAAAGACCACUGGAUUAAAAGAUGGUAUUUAGGGCCCAGCACAAUGACUCAAGUCUGUAGUCUCAGCACUUUGGGAAGCUGAGGUGAGGGGAUCGCUUGAGCCCAGGAGAUCAAGACCAGCCAUGGGCAAUAUGGCAAAACCCCAUCUCUACAAAAAAUACAAAAAUUAGCCAGAUGUGUUGCAACUGUAGUCCCAGCUAUUCAAGAAACUGAAGUGGGAAGAUCACUUGAGCCUGCAAGGUCGACGCUGCAGUGAGCCAUGAUUGCACCACUCCAGCCUGGGAGACAGAGCAAGGCCUUGCUUCAAAAAAUAAAAAUAAAAGAUGACAUUAAGAAGAAAUCUGAUCUCAUUGUCUUUAUUAUCAAGUGAUUGAAGGCUAUAAUCAUUAUUUAAUAAUCUUGUAGAUAAUGAUUGUACUUGAAAGUGGGCUAUUAAUAACUAGAUAUAUCUAGAGCACCAAGGUUUUACAAUUGUUAGAAAUUUGAGAAGCAGCACCCAGUAGUGACUUAGAGUCAGACUGCAUGGCUGAAUCUCUGCUUCAGUCAUUGCUAACUACAACCUGGGGCAAGUUAGUUGACCUACUAUGCCUGUUUCCUCACUGUAAAAGGAGAAUAAUAUCAGUACUUUCCAUAUAUGACUAUUUUCAGGAUUAAAUGAGCUAAUACAUUUAAGAAUUUAGGCCAGUGCCUGGCAUUUCAGAAGUGCUCAAUGAAUGUUAACUAAUAUUAACCUGGCUUUGGUUAAAUUUGAAAAAACAAACACAAAAACACAACUUUGUGUAGGUAACUUUGUUACCUACUGCCCCUUGCUGGCCAACCUGGGUCAGUACACUGCCAUCUAUGUGGGGAAGCUAAAUAAAUAAGUGCUUGGAGUAAGGAAAGAUUUUCAGCGUUGAGGGUAAUAUCAAUGCUAAACUUAUGAAUAUUUUUGCAAAAUAGUCUUGAGAAAAAUCAAUUGUCAUGAAAUUAAGUAAUUAGCAAGAAGUAUAGGAAGAGAAAUUAAAUAUCUGUAACAAUAAUUAAAUAAUAAGCACAUUUUAGAUUCUUAAGAGCAGUUGAAAAGCAAGACAUUUUAAAUUGCAGUGCUCUAAAAUAGGACCCUUGAGAAUUUAUGGUGUAAUAGAAUAUGAUUUGCCAGGAAAAGCAACUUGCUCCCUGAAAUGACCAAGUAUGUAUUUCAAGUUCUGCCUAGAUGUUUGAGGGGUGGGAGGAGGUAUUAUCUUCUGUAGGGAGACCCCCUGAAACUACUGCUACAGAAUAAAAGAUGAAAUGCUCCUGGUUAUUGUAAAUACAAAGUUGCAUGCAGGAUUGUGUAAAGACAAUGCCAGGUUGGGCUGCCAGAAUGAGCCAACAGCGCGUGAUGUGCUUCCCCCUGCAGAGAGCCUAUGAACAGACGUGCAGUCAGGGAGGUUUCACAUCACCAAGAUUCCUAUCCCAGAAAAGCAGAUGUUCAGAGCUCUGGGAAUGGAAUGCAACGCUUGUGGAGAGCCUAUAAGCAGAUGCAUGAGGGGCACCUGUUCAUAUGGAUAAGAUAGGGCUACAAACACCCUCAUCUUGCCAUGGCUCUUCUAGGCCUCUUUAGGGUUAAGGCAUACUCCCUUCUGAGAAUUUCUGGUCUAACCGGUUGUCUAGCUUCACGUCCUGUUUCCAUGGAUUGUUUGUAACCAGCUUUUGCUGCAACAGUUACUGCUGAUUAAUAUCUUGCUAAUCAUAGGUUAUGGACAGACUGUGUUUCUGUUUCAAGGCUCUGUUAGAAAUGACUGAUGUAAAUUCUUAUCUCUGUAUACUGUACUUCUGCAUAUAGAUGUUAUGUUAAAGAAUUACUUCAUCUCCAUGUGACUAUCUCACCUCAUAAUCAAACGACCCUAAAUCCCUCACUAACCUACCCCUGACCUCACUAAACUUAAUAAUAAAUGCUGGUAUAUCCAGUGCAUUGGCGGCACCACGGGACCAGAAGAUGGUGACCCCCCCUGGACCCAGUUUUCACUAUCUUGUGUGCGUCUAUUAUUUCUCGACCUGCCGAUCUGCCCGUGAACAAGGAAAGAGCCCCAUUGCAUUGCGGGCUGCGGGGCAGAUCCCACAAUAAUCUUCCUAUUUGCAGAUUGUAUAAUAAUAAUAAUGCUAUUGCUUAUUGAGUGCUCACUACAUGGCAAGGGCUUUCCAUAUAUCACCUUUUUCCUUGUUCUUUUUUUAACAUGAAAAUAUUCAAACAUAUAUACAUUAAAAAUAUAAUGAACAUCCAUGUACAUCACUACAUUUAACAUUUAACACUUUCUGUAUUUUUUUGUUCUGAAUUAUCUUAAAAUAUAGGUAUCAAAUAUUUCAACCCUAUAUAUGCCAGUAUACAUGUCUAAAAAUAGAGACAUUUUUCUACCGAAGCACAAUACCAUUAUCACACCUAAUAACAAUUGCCUAAUAUCACCUAAUGCCCCAGUGAAAACUCAAAUUUCUUCAGUUGUCCCCGAAAUAUCUUUUAUAUCUGGCUUAUUAAACCAGAAUCAACAGAGGACAAGCCAUACAUUUGGUUAUUGUUUGUUUGUUUGUUUGUUUGUUUUUGAGAUGGAGUCUUGCUCCGUUGCCAAGCUGGAGUGCAAAGGCGUGAUCUUGGCUCACUGCAAAUUCUGCCUCCCAGGUUCAAACAAUUCUUCUGCCUCAGCCUCCCGAGUAGCUGGGACUAGAGGCAUGCCACCAUGCCCAGCUAAUUUUUGUAUUUUUAGUAGAGAUGGGGUUUCACCAUGUUGGCCAGGAAGGUCUCCAUCUCUUGACAUUGUGAUCUGCCUGCCUCAGCCUCCCAAAUUGCUGGGAUUACAGGUGUGAACCACCACACCCAGCCACAUUUUUAAAAUUUCUUUUAAUCUAGAGCAGCCAUCCCUCAGUGCUGCUUUUUUUCUUUUUAAUGACACUGACUUAUUGAAGACACUGGGCCAUGUGUUCAGUAGGGUGUUCCACCAUUUAUUCUGGGUUUUUCUGGUUGUUUUCUCCUGUUGUAAUUUUAUUCUUCUAUCCUUGCAGUUCCUGAGACAGGAAGAUAGAUUUAAAGGCUUGAUGAUGUUGAGGUUAAAAUUUUUUGGAAAGAAUACUUCAUAGAUGAUGCUGGAGCUUCAUAUUGCAUCAAAUUGGGAGAUAUUUAAUGUCAGGCUGGGCCACUUUUAUGGUGAUAAGAUUGUUCUGGGUUAAGGUAGGAGGGGCAAGAUUUCCCUGUGUUGUAAAAAUGUAACCAGCAGUAGGCCAGGCGCGGUGGCUCACGCCUGUAAUCCCAGUGACAGGUGAAGCCAGCUGGGCUUCUGGGUCGGGUGGGCACUUGGAGAACUUUUCUGUCUAGCUAAAGGAUUGUAAACGCACCAAUCAGCACUCUGUGCCUAGCUAAAGGUUUGUAAACGCACCAAUCAGCACUCUGUGUAUAGCUAAAGGUUUUUAAGUGCACCAAUCGGGGCUCUGUGUCUAGCUAACCAGGUAGGAGGCUUAGAGAACUUUUCUGUCUAGUUAAAGGAUUGUAAAUGCACCAAUCAGUGCUCUGUGUCUAGCUAAAGGUUUGUAAACACACCAAUCAGGGCUCUGUCAAAACAGACCAAUCAGCUCUCUGUGAAAUGGACCAAUCAGCAGGAUGUGGGUGGGGCCAAAUAAGGGAAUAAAAGCAGGCCACCAGAGCCAGCAUGGGCAACCCACUUGGGUCCCCCUCCAGGCUGUGGAAGCUUUGUUCUUUUACUCUUUGCACUAAAUCUUGCUGCUGCUCACUCUUUGGGUCCGCACCGCCUUUAUGAGCUGUAACACUCACCACGAAGGUCUGCAGCUUCACUCCUGAAGCCAGCGAGACCAUGAACCCACAGGAAGGAACAACUCCAGACGGGAGGAACGAACAAUUCUGGACGGGAGGAACGAACAACUCCGGAUGGGAGGAAUGAACAACUCUGGACGUGCCACCUUUAUGAACUGUAACACUCACCAUGAAGGUCUGCAGCUUCACUCUUGAAGUCAGCAAGACCACAAACCCACCAGAAGGAAUGAACAACUCCAGAUGCACCGCCUUUAAGAGCCGUAACACUCAACCGCGAGGGUCUGCAGCUUCACUCCUGAAGCCAGCGAGACCAUGAACCCACAGGAAGGAACAACUCCAGACAGGAGGAACGAACAAUUCUGGACGGGAGGAACAAACAACUCCGGAUGGGAGGAAUGAACAACUCUGGACGAGCCACCUUUAUGAACUGUAACACUCACCAUGAAGGUCUGCAGCUUCAUUCCUGAAGUCAGCAAGACCACAAACCCACCAGAAGGAAUGAACAACUCCAGAUGCACCGCCUUUAAGAGCCGUAACACUCACCGCGAGGGUCUGCAGCUUCACUCCUGAAGUCAGUGAGACCACAAACCCACCAGAAGGAAGAAACUCCAGACACAUCUGAACAUCUGAAGGAACGAACUCCGGACACACCAUCAUUAAGAACUGUAACACUCACCGCGAGGGUCAGCGGCUUCAUUCUUUAAGUCAGUGAAACCAAGAACCCACAAUUCCGGACACACCAGCACUUUGGGAGGCCGAGGCGGGCAGAUCACGAGGUCAGGAGAUCAAGACCAUCCUGGCCAACAUGGUGAAACCCCGUCUCUACUAAAAAUACAAAAAAUUAGCCAGGCAUGGUGGCGGGUGCCUGUAGUCCCAGCUACUCAGGAAGCUGAGGCAGGAGAAUGGUGUGAACCCGGGAGGCGGAGCUUGCAGUGAGCCGACAUCACACCACUGCACUUCAGCCUGGGCGACGGAGUGAGACUCUGUCUCAAAAAAAUAAAAAUAAAAUAAAUAAAUUGUAACCAGCAGUAAUCCUCAGGGAGUAAUUUGGCAUCAAGUGAAUAUCCUGUUCCCUAUCACCUUUU